CCCUUUUCCUAGAGAACGUUUUCUGAGCGCCUCCUGCGAAGCACCCACCGGCGCCGGGAGGCUGGCCUGGCCGCAGGCCCUGCCCUGAUGGUGGGAGUCAGACUGACCUGCCUGGUACUUAGCAGACGAACCUGUGGCAGCGAGGGCCCUGCCCUGAGAGCAGGCAGCCACCAGGAGGAGGGGAAGCUUGGUGGAGACCUGGAGAUCAGCCUAGUGGAGUGGAGGGGAAAGUUUUCUGAGAAGAGGAAACUACAUGUGCAAAGGCCCAGAGGUCGAAGGAGAGCUUGGCCAAUGAGGAACUUCCCAACUGCUCAUCAAAUCCAAGCUCCAUACCCAGCGCUUUAGCCUUUUCUGGCAACAGCCCUGCUGUUACUGGCCAAUCAACAUAAUGUGUCUUCCAGGCCAAGACCCUGGCAACCACCUGUCUGCUCUGUUCCAUGGAUUGACCUAUUCUGGAUAUUUCAUAUGAAUUUCCAGGUCUGAACUCUGGUUGGAGGCUUUUGGGGACCAUGAAUUCCUCUGCUCCACCAGCCACGAACACUACGGAAGAUCGUGCUGUGUGCCCAGAGAGGACAUCUUGACUGGAGGCGCGGAGGUUUGGGAGGAUGUCUCCGAAGUGGGGAGCAGCCUCUCAGGAUGAGGAAGGCCGGGGUGAUCCCCGAGCCCCAUCUGGGGGCGGAGGGGGGAGAGAUGGGGAAUGAAGGCCACCCGAGGGAACCCAGGGCACCCUGUGCUCCGGGACUCUUACUCAACGCGCUGGCCCGACACCUCCAAGCACAUCCUG
Nyctereutes procyonoides (raccoon dog) is the source of this 784-nucleotide long non-coding RNA. RefSeq lists it as uncharacterized. Lineage: Eukaryota; Metazoa; Chordata; Mammalia; Carnivora; Canidae. The record is from RefSeq and is a predicted model, not a curated record. The transcript has 3 exons.